UGUAGGAGUGAGCCUGCUCGCGAUAGCGCAAUGUCAGACACUGAAAGGUUGACUGUCUUACCGCUAUCGCGAGCAGGCUCACUCCCACA
Molecule: non-coding RNA, 89 nt
Filed under: Pseudomonas helmanticensis
Lineage: Bacteria; Pseudomonadati; Pseudomonadota; Gammaproteobacteria; Pseudomonadales; Pseudomonadaceae
Source: RNAcentral